This 264-nucleotide ribosomal RNA is filed under the name uncultured Gammaproteobacteria bacterium. Its description in RNAcentral is "partial 16S ribosomal RNA". It matches the Rfam family "Bacterial small subunit ribosomal RNA", at positions 77 to 339 of the family's 1533-position model. The record is from RNAcentral. Lineage: Bacteria; Pseudomonadati; Pseudomonadota; Gammaproteobacteria.
AGCUUGCUCUUGGGCGUCGAGCGGCGGACGGGUGAGUAAUGCCUAGGAAUCUGCCUAUGUAGUGGGGGAUAACUGUCCGAAAGGAUGGCUAAUACCGCAUACGUCCUACGGGAGAAAGCAGGGGACUCUUCGGAGCCUUGCGCUAUUAGAUGAGCCUAGGUCGGAUUAGCUAGUUGGUGGGGUAAAGGCUCACCAAGGCUGCGAUCCGUAACUGGUCUGAGAGGAUGAUCAGUCACACUGGAACUGAGACACGGUCCAGACUCC